UGUAACAUGUUUACAGUUCAGCUGGGAACCAGUUACUAGAAAUAAUCUGUCAACAGAAACUGAGGAACGAAAUGACCUGGUUAACGGACGCUUCCCCUCCAACACACUGACUUUCUGUCUCCAACUUGAGAGGAAUGUUCUGACAUACUUGCCCCAAGAAAAUUUUGAAUCUUUUAAGUGGCGAUAGAGGAAGAACCGUACAGACAGCAUGGCAUCUGCUUUGAUCAGCUGACUUCAUAAAACAAUGAGCCAGUUAGAAAUCACUGAUUAAAGACAUUUCCUCACCUACAUGCUGAAACUAAUCCUGAAACAACAAGGGAAAGUGUCUCUGGUGAUACAAGAGCAAUUCAUUUAAAGAGUUUAUUGCUUAACAGGAGGAUUUAGUUUACAGAACACAUGCAUGAUGAAAGCGGCGUCCCGCUGGCAGGAGGAAGUUGGCCCACCUUGGAUAACAGCAGCAG
Poeciliopsis prolifica (blackstripe livebearer) is the source of this 461-nucleotide long non-coding RNA. RefSeq lists it as uncharacterized. The transcript has 3 exons. NCBI's taxonomy places the organism in Eukaryota, Metazoa, Chordata, Actinopteri, Cyprinodontiformes, Poeciliidae. The record is from RefSeq and is a predicted model, not a curated record.